This 254-nucleotide ribosomal RNA is filed under the name uncultured bacterium. RNAcentral's name for it is "partial 16S ribosomal RNA". It matches the Rfam family "Bacterial small subunit ribosomal RNA", at positions 524 to 776 of the family's 1533-position model. The record is from RNAcentral.
UACGAACUGUGCGAACGUUAUUCGGAAUCACUGGGCUUACAGGGUGCGUAGGCGGCUAUUCAGGUCAGGUGUGAAAGCCCCCGGCUCAACCGGGGAACUGCGUCUGAUACUGGAUGGCUUGAGGUUGGGAGAGGGAUGCGGAAUUCCAGGUGUAGCGGUGAAAUGCGUAGAUAUCUGGAGGAACACCGGUGGCGAAGGCGGCAUCCUGGACCAAUUCUGACGCUGAGUGAGCGAAAGCCAGGGGAGCAAACGGG